AUGUCGAUAGGGAUGGAAGCACCGGCUGGCCACCUCGCCGCUGAAUCCUCCCCUCCUGUGACUGUGAUGAGCCGGCGGCGCUCUGUGGAUGGGCUCCUCCUCCUCCUCCCCAGGCCAUACCGAGUCUGCUCCUGUCCGGNNNNNNNNNNNNNNNNNNNNNNNNNNNNNNNNNNNNNNNNNNNNNNNNNNNNNNNNNNNNNNNNNNNNNNNNNNNNNNNNNNNNNNNNNAACAGCAAAAAGUCGGAAUCUUUUCCGGAGUUGAUCCAUGUUCUGAUUCCACAAGCCCCAGGCAAUCAACCUCUGUUGAUUUCCUUUGCCUACUCGGAUCUGCCUCACCUAUUCGAAUCAGGGGUGAAGCAGCCUCGGUUGGUCACCUAUAAAUAUAGCCACAAGUCUCUUCCUGCUCCACCCAAGUUGCUAUUUUGCAAGCAUUGCAGCAGAAGCAGUUCGUCUUCCAUGACAUACUAUAAUCCCAUGGAAGACCCUAGUAGUGUAGACACGAUAUUCAACUUCUGGGGGCUCCCUAUACACACCACAAAUUUGGAUUUGCGCUCCCUGGUCUUCCGAGUUUUACCUCAGCUGCUGGGUCUCUCUCCUCCCAGCUCACUGAAUAUUCUCAAGACACCACCACUACUGAUAGAGGCUACACUCCCGGAGCUACCAGAGGACAUCUUGAUGCGCAUCUUUGCCACCCUUGAGAUCCCUGACCUCAUACGUGCCGGCGCUGUCUGCACCUUUUGGCGCUCUGCCUACACCUCCCUGCGCACACUCGGCAAGCACAAGCAGCCCCAGACGCCGUGCCUGUUCUACACCUCUGAAUCUUCCAGCGACAAUGUUGCGUGUCUCUACAGCCUCGUGGAGAAGAGGGUUUACAGCCUAACUCUCCCGGAGCCGCCUCUCCACACUAGGUUUCUGAUUGGGUCCUCUCUCGGCUUGCUGGUCACCGUCGAUGAGAGAUCUGAAAUGCACCUCGUCAAUCCGAUCACUGGUCAACAGAUUGCUCUUCCUUCAGUGACCACGAUGCAGCAUGUGAAGCCCAUUUGUGAUGACUCGGGUGCUGUCCACAAGUAUGCAUACUCAAAGCACACGGCAAAGCAAGUUAUCUGCCCUCCAAAGAUAAUUGCUCCAGCUGCCCUGCGGGAAUUCUUCCAUCAGAAGGCUCUUUUGUUUUAUGAUACACCCACAGGGAGCUACAUAGUGGUGCUCAUCCACUUGCCGUUUGGUCAGCUAUCCUUUGCAAGGGUAGGGGACGAUAAGUGGACCUGGCUGCCACCUCACACUGAUUAUUUUGACUGCACCUACAAGGAUGGGCUACUGUAUGCAGCGACUCUAUUGGGAGAAGUUCACACCUUUGAUCUUAGUGGGCCUGCUGUUACAAUGAACACUAUUAUGGGUGUGGAUGAUGACGAUUUAGAAAUUCAGGGAGCAUACAUUCUUGAAGCUCCAUGGGGUGGUUUGCUGCUUGUUUGGAGGUUGAAAGUGUAUAGUGGUUAUCAGGAUGAUAUUUCAUCACUUAAGCUGCACACCAAGGGAAUUAAAAUACAUGAAGUUGAUGUUGCUGCCAAGAAGCUUGUGGAAAUUGAUUGCUUGCACGGCCAUGUGCUGUUCCUUGGUCAUAACCAGUCACUCUGUCUCAGCACUAAAGAAUGCCCUGCUCUCAAGGAAAAUCGUCUCUACUUUACUGACGAUGAUGCGUACAUAACUGUGCAUAAGGAUAAUCGUCGCGAUAUAGGACUACUUCGCUUGGAUAAUAAUAGCUGGGAAAGCCUUGUGUUUCCUCAGCUUUGGUCCAACUGGCCUGCUCCUGUGUGGAUUACACCCAAUCUUACAAUGAUGAAACUGUCGUUGAAUAAAUAG
RNAcentral lists this ribosomal RNA (1857 nucleotides) under Triticum aestivum (bread wheat). Its description in RNAcentral is "partial small subunit ribosomal RNA". Lineage: Eukaryota; Viridiplantae; Streptophyta; Magnoliopsida; Poales; Poaceae. The record is from RNAcentral.